GAUGAACGCUGGCGGCGUGCCUAAUACAUGCAAGUCGAGCGAACAGACGAGGAGCUUGCUCCUCUGACGUUAGCGGCGGACGGGUGAGUAACACGUGGAUAACCUACCUAUAAGACUGGGAUAACUUCGGGAAACCGGAGCUAAUACCGGAUAAUAUAUUGAACCGCAUGGUUCAAUAGUGAAAGACGGUUUUGCUGUCACUUAUAGAUGGAUCCGCGCCGCAUUAGCUAGUUGGUAAGGUAACGGCUUACCAAGGCAACGAUGCGUAGCCGACCUGAGAGGGUGAUCGGCCACACUGGAACUGAGACACUGUCCAGACUCCUGCGAGAAGCAACAGUAGGGAAUCUUCCGCAAUGGGCGGAAGCCUGACGGAGCAACGCCACGUGAGUGAUGAAGGUCUUCGGAUCGUAAAACUCUAUUAUUAGGGAGGAACAAAUGUGUAAGUAUCUAUGCACGUCUUGACGGUACCUAAUCAGAAAGCCACGGCUAACUACGUG
RNAcentral lists this ribosomal RNA (497 nucleotides) under uncultured bacterium. RNAcentral describes it as "partial 16S ribosomal RNA". It matches the Rfam family "Bacterial small subunit ribosomal RNA", at positions 28 to 507 of the family's 1533-position model. The record is from RNAcentral.